This 788-nucleotide ribosomal RNA is filed under the name uncultured archaeon. Its description in RNAcentral is "bacterial SSU rRNA". It matches the Rfam family "Archaeal small subunit ribosomal RNA", at positions 85 to 879 of the family's 1478-position model. The record is from RNAcentral.
ACUGCUCAGUAACACGUAGCUAACCUGCCCUCAGGUUAAGGAUACCCUCGGGAAACUGAGGUUAAUACUUAAUAAGAGAUAUACCCUGGAAAGAUUUAUCUCCCAAAUUCGAGCCUGAGGAUGGGGCUGCGGUGGAUUAGGUUGUUGGCGGGGUAAAUGCCCACCAAGCCGAUAAUCCAUAAGGGCUCUUAGCGGAGAGGCCCUGAGAGGGAAUCUGAGACACUAUUCCCAGCCCUACGGGGUGCAGCAGUUAGGAAUAAUUUGCAAUGCGCGAAAGCGUGACAAUUUGAGCCAGAGUGCUCCUCAUUGAGGAGCUUUUGCCAAAUGUAAAAAGUUUGGCGAAUAAGGACUGGGCAAGACUAGUGCCAGCCGCCGCGGUAAUACUAGCUGUUCAAGUCGCAGCCACAAUUAUUGGGUCUAGAACAUCCGUAGCUUGUUUGGUAAGUUUCUUGUGAAAUCCUGUCUCUUAAGGGCAGGGCGUGCAAGAAGUACUGCCAGGCUAGAGACUGGGAGACGUAAGAAGUACGUUCAAAGUAGUGGUAAAGUACGUUAAUCUUGAGCGGACUAACAAUAGCGAAGGCAUCUUACGAGAACAGUUCUGACAGUAAGGGAUGAAGGCUAGGGGCGCAAAUUGGAUUAGAUACCCAAGUAGUCCUAGCAGUAAACUCUGCACACUAAACAUUGGUGCCUCCUCGAGAGGCGUCAGUGCUGAAAGGGAGGCCGAAGAGUGUGCUACCUGGGAAGUAUAGUCGCAAGACCGAAACUUAAAGGAAUUGGCGGGGGAGCAC